RNAcentral lists this non-coding RNA (28 nucleotides) under Homo sapiens (human). Lineage: Eukaryota; Metazoa; Chordata; Mammalia; Primates; Hominidae. The record is from RNAcentral.
AGAGGAUGUGUCAGAACUAAGGAAUGAA